This 23-nucleotide microRNA is filed under the name Xenopus laevis (African clawed frog). RNAcentral describes it as "xla-miR-183-3p". Its record names the gene xla-miR-183-3p. Lineage: Eukaryota; Metazoa; Chordata; Amphibia; Anura; Pipidae. RNAcentral also lists the same sequence under 2 other names. The record is from miRBase by way of RNAcentral.
GUGAAUUACCAUAGGGCCAUAAA